AGACUAUCCAUUUACCAGUGAGACAUCCUGUAUGGAGGAAAGGUUAAAGUAAUCUGAACACAUGGAAGCCUACAUCAGGUAAUUGAAGACUGGGUUAUUAAAAUGCUGUAUGAUUAGCUGUAUCAGCCGAAAAGAAAGAGGAUUUUGAAUGGUGCGGUUGUUCUUUAUGCAAAGCUGAGACGCGACGCCUUCCAGACAGUGAGAGAUGGCAAGCCCUAAUAAUACAGAGCUGUACAAUGGUUCUGACAGGCGAGCAAUAAAGCAAUCAGGGUCCUAGGCAUUCCAAAUCUCUUUAACGCCCACCCUCUAACAGUCUGAGAGAUGGGCGGCUGACCUGCAGGCUGUCAAUCAUGGCGAAUACCUGCUGGAGCCUGAUCAGGGAGAACCGAGGGCACCAGUCUAUCAGAUCUGUUUUCACACUCCAGACACUAACAU
Molecule: long non-coding RNA, 435 nt
Organism: Hypomesus transpacificus
Lineage: Eukaryota; Metazoa; Chordata; Actinopteri; Osmeriformes; Osmeridae
Exons: 3
Source: RefSeq, a predicted model, not a curated record